This 842-nucleotide ribosomal RNA is filed under the name uncultured bacterium. RNAcentral describes it as "bacterial SSU rRNA". It matches the Rfam family "Bacterial small subunit ribosomal RNA", at positions 1 to 780 of the family's 1533-position model. The record is from RNAcentral.
GGAUCCAGACUUUGCAUCAUGGCCUACAAGGAUAGAACGCGUGGCGGCAUGCCUAAGACCAUGCAAGUCGUACGAAGGGGCCCAAUGAAAGGAAUUGAAAUUCAGAGUGCUUGCACAAAGAAUGGAUUUUCUUGGAUUUGGAUUUUCCCCUUAGUGGCAAACGGGUGAGUAACACGUGGGUUACCUACCUCUAAGAUGGGGAUAACAGUUGGAAACGACUGAUAAUACCGAAUGUGCUCUACGGAGUAAAGAAGCCCUUAAAGCUUCGCUUAGAGAUGGGCCUGCGGCGUAUUAGCUAGUUGGUGGGGUAAUGGCCUACCAAGGGCGACGAUGCGUAGCCGAACUGAGAGGUUGAUCGGCCACACUGGGACUGAGACGCGGCCCAGACUCCUACGGGAGACAGCAGUUAGGAAUAUUCGUCAAUGGAGGAAACUCUGAACGAGCAAUGCCGCGUGAACGAUGACGGCCCUAUGGGUUGUAAAGUUCUGUUGUUUGGAAAGAACGAUAGAUAGAGGAAAUGCUAUCUAUGUGACGGUACCAUUCAAGAAAGCCACGGCUAACUACGUGCCAGCAGCCGCGGUAAUACGUAGGUGGCGAGCGUUAUCCGGAUUUAUUGGGCGUAAAGGGUGCGCAGACGGUUUAUUAAGUCUAAAAUCAAAUCUUGGGGCUCAACCCCAUUCCGUUUUAGAAACUGGUAGACUUGAGUAUGGUAGAGGCAAAUGGAAUUCCUAGUGUAGCGGUGGAAUGCGUAGAUAUUAGGGAGGGAACACCCAGUGGCGAAGGCGAUUUGCUGGGCCAUUACUGACGUUCAGGCACGAAAGCGUGGGGAGCAAAUAGGAUUA